RNAcentral lists this ribosomal RNA (497 nucleotides) under uncultured bacterium. Its description in RNAcentral is "partial 16S ribosomal RNA". It matches the Rfam family "Bacterial small subunit ribosomal RNA", at positions 28 to 507 of the family's 1533-position model. The record is from RNAcentral.
GACGAACGCUGGCGGCGUGCCUAAUACAUGCAAGUAGAACGCUGAAGCGAGGAGCUUACUCUUCUUGGAUGAGUUGCGAACGGGUGAGUAACGCGUAGGUAACCUGCCUUGUAGCGGGGGAUAACUAUUGGAAACGAUAGCUAAUACCGCAUAACAAUGGAUGACACAUGUCAUUUAUUUGAAAGGGGCAAUUGCUCCACUACAAGAUGGACCUACGUUGUAUUAGCUAGUAGGUGAGGUAAUGGCUCACCUAGGCGACGAUACAUAGCCGACCUGAGAGGGUGAUCGGCCACACUGGGACUGAGACACGGCCCAGACUCCUACGGGAGGCAGCAGUAGGGAAUCUUCGGCAAUGGGGGCAACCCUGACCGAGCAACGCCGCGUGAGUGAAGAAGGUUUUCGGAUCGUAAAGCUCUGUUGUAAGUCAAGAACGGGUGUGAGAGUGGAAAGUUCACACUGUGACGGUAGCUUACCAGAAAGGGACGGCUAACUACGUG